This 465-nucleotide ribosomal RNA is filed under the name uncultured Klebsiella sp. RNAcentral's name for it is "bacterial SSU rRNA". It matches the Rfam family "Bacterial small subunit ribosomal RNA", at positions 338 to 795 of the family's 1533-position model. The record is from RNAcentral. Lineage: Bacteria; Pseudomonadati; Pseudomonadota; Gammaproteobacteria; Enterobacterales; Enterobacteriaceae.
CCUACGGGAGGCAGCAGUGGGGAAUAUUGCACAAUGGGCGCAAGCCUGAUGCAGCCAUGCCGCGUGUGUGAAGAAGGCCUUCGGGUUGUAAAGCACUUUCAGCGGGGAGGAAGGCGUUAAGGUUAAUAACCUUGGCGAUUGACGUUACCCGCAGAAGAAGCACCGGCUAACUCCGUGCCAGCAGCCGCGGUAAUACGGAGGGUGCAAGCGUUAAUCGGAAUUACUGGGCGUAAAGCGCACGCAGGCGGUCUGUCAAGUCGGAUGUGAAAUCCCCGGGCUCAACCUGGGAACUGCAUUCGAAACUGGCAGGCUAGAGUCUUGUAGAGGGGGGUAGAAUUCCAGGUGUAGCGGUGAAAUGCGUAGAGAUCUGGAGGAACACCGGUGGCGAAGGCGGCCCCCUGGACAAAGACUGACGCUCAGGUGCGAAAGCGUGGGGAGCAAACAGGAUUAGAUACCCCGGUAGUC